GAUGAACGCUGGCGGCGUGCCUAAUACAUGCAAGUCGAGCGAACAGAUGCGGCGCUUGCGCCUUUGACGUUAGCCGCGGACGGGAGAGUAACACGUGUAUACUCUACCUAUCUGACUGGUAUCACUUCGAGACAGCGGCGCUUAUCGCGGAUAAUCUCUUGAUCCGCAUGGUUCGAUAGUGAAAUACGGUUUUGCUGUCUCUUAUAGCUGGUUCCGCGCGGCAUUAGCUAGUUGUGACGGUAACGGCUUACCAAGGCAACGAUGCGUAGCCGACCUGAGAGGGGGAUCGGCGACACGGGAACUGAGACAGGGUCCAGACUCCUACGGGAGGCAGCAGUAGGGAAUCUUCGGCAAUGGGCGAAAGCCUGACGGAGCAACGCCGCGUGAGUGAUGAAGGUGUCGGGAGCGUAAAACUCUGUUAUUGGGGAAGAACAGAUGUGUAAGUAACUAUACACGGCGUGACGGUACCUAAUCAAAAAGCCCCGGCUAACUACGUG
RNAcentral lists this ribosomal RNA (497 nucleotides) under uncultured bacterium. RNAcentral's name for it is "partial 16S ribosomal RNA". It matches the Rfam family "Bacterial small subunit ribosomal RNA", at positions 28 to 507 of the family's 1533-position model. The record is from RNAcentral.